RNAcentral lists this unclassified non-coding RNA (233 nucleotides) under uncultured fungus. RNAcentral describes it as "sequence contains ITS1, 5.8S rRNA gene". The stretch from base 185 to 233 matches the Rfam family "5.8S ribosomal RNA", at positions 1 to 49 of the family's 154-position model. Lineage: Eukaryota; Fungi. The record is from RNAcentral.
UCUCCGUAGGUGAACCUGCGGAGGGAUCAUUACCGAGUGAGGGCCCCCGGUCCGACCUCCAACCCUUUGUGUUUCUGACUGUGUUGCCUCGGGGGCGACCCGGCGCGUUUAUCGCGUUGGGGCCCCCGGUGGACCAACCCAUAACACUGCAUCUUUGCGUCGGAUAUCAACGAAAAUAAAUAAAAACUUUCAACAACGGAUCUCUUGGUUCUGGCAUCGAUGAAGAACGCAGC